RNAcentral lists this ribosomal RNA (466 nucleotides) under uncultured actinomycete. RNAcentral describes it as "bacterial SSU rRNA". It matches the Rfam family "Bacterial small subunit ribosomal RNA", at positions 28 to 509 of the family's 1533-position model. The record is from RNAcentral. Lineage: Bacteria; Bacillati; Actinomycetota; Actinomycetes; Actinomycetales.
GACGAACGCUGGCGGCGUGCUUUACACAUGCAAGUCGAACGAUGAAGUUCCUUCGGGAAUGGAUCAGUGGCGAACGGGUGAGGAACACGUGAGAAAUCUGCCCUUCAUUUUGGGAUAACUCCGGGAAACCGGGGCUAAUACCAAAUACUCCAUCCCGGUGGCAUCACAGGGCUGGGAAAGAAUUUCGAUGAAGGUUGAUCUCGCGGCCUAUCAGCUAGUUGGUGAGGUAAUGGCUCACCAAGGCAACGACGGGUAGCCGGCCUGAGAGGGCGACCGGCCACACUGGGACUGAGACACGGCCCAGACUCCUACGGGAGGCAGCAGUGGGGAAUAUUGGGCAAUGGGCGCAAGCCUGACCCAGCGACGCCGCGUGAGGGAUGAAGGUCUUCGGAUUGUAAACCUCUUUCAGUGGGGAAGAAGCGAAAGUGACGGUACCCAAAGAAGAAGCACCGGCUAACUAUGUGCC